Molecule: long non-coding RNA, 1453 nt
Organism: Pteropus alecto (black flying fox)
Lineage: Eukaryota; Metazoa; Chordata; Mammalia; Chiroptera; Pteropodidae
Exons: 3
Source: RefSeq, a predicted model, not a curated record
CUGGGGUCCACGUUCUCCCGAGUGCUUCCCGCUUUCUCACAUUUACAGGUCCUCCUUAUUUAUGAUUUUUUUUUUUACUGUCUACUCCCACUAGUCUGUAAGCGACCGGGGUCAACUUCUGUCUGCCUUGUCUCCCCCUGUGACCCGAGCGCCGUAUGAAUGAAUGCUGGCGCGGGCUGGCCCUGGACGCUUAGCUGCCGAGAAACGAGGUGCGUCGCCGGCGACACUGGGCCAUUGCAAGUUCACAGGCGUGACGACCCCCCGCCGCGGCUGUCCUUCCCGGAGCGAGCCAGUACACGCGUCGUUCAGCUGUGGCUCGGGGACCUCCCUGCCGUGUCCCCCAAACCGAGGAUGCUGGGAGCAGCGUGCCGUCCUUCGGCAGGACCAGAUGUGGCCCUUGGCCAGCUCGCCGUGGGGGCACGUCAGCUCGACCGCUCUUGGCCACGGUUCAGUGCCCAGAUCUUGAUCGUCUCAUGAGACUCGACAGCACACCGUUCCAUUAAAUGGGUGACGUCCCAUUGACAGGCGGCAGAGCCAGGCCUUAGUGAUACUCUAGACACUAAGAUAAUACACGUGCUUGCCAAAGGGAUACAUCCGUGAACAUUUAGGAACUCGCCACAGCUGUGUGAAAUUUGGGGGGUUCAGUGGUAAGAAAAUGUCAAGACUUCCCUCAACAGUCAAAGACAAGUUGUUACACCUUGAGUACCUUAACGCUAGGAAGAAGACGUACAUUUUGACGGGUGCAUCAAAUACUCAGCUGCCUUUAGCUUCAAGUAACAGGAGUUGGAAAGAACAGUAACUUUCUGCCGUCAACGGCAUGCCUCCUGGCUCAGGAUGGCUGCGAGAGCUCUCGCCAUCAUUUCCAUGUUCUUGACAGGAACUGGGGGGCUGGGCCAGGGGUGGAAGGACAAACGGGAUUUCCUGGAAGGCACCCAACAACUAACACCUACAGGUAGCAAGAGCCCCAGAGCAGACCCGCGCUGAGCACGGGCCCCGCCAAGGAGGCCUAGCUGGGCCACACCAUGAGCAGCUCUCACUUGGCAGUGCUGCUCGACGAGACGCCGGUGGAGGCUGUGGCAAGCGCCGACAGAACAGGGUGGGAGGCCCCCGGGCUGGGAGCAAAGCCAUAUCCUCUUAGGAAAUACAUCGUGAUUUGGAGGUGCGAGUUUUGGCUUGCCCCUGGGCUCCGCCUCAGACCGUACAUGAGGCCAUGAGUAUAUCACAGGCCCGUGUGAUCUGAAGUGCCCAUUGGUGACAUGAAACAAUAAUGCGGGGUCUGCCCAGAAGUACACUGUCAUCGGGGGGAUGGGGGUUGACCUCGAGCACGGGUAAGUUGCAUGAGCAAGUGGGCCACACCCCUGGCAUGCCCUGCUUCCCCACCUCAGCCUACACCUGUGACCUCAUGAAGUUUCCGGCGACACGUCUGACAACAUUAUUCUCGUUAUACUAAUAA